This 399-nucleotide long non-coding RNA is filed under the name Homo sapiens (human). RNAcentral describes it as "HSALNT0293631". The record is from RNAcentral. Lineage: Eukaryota; Metazoa; Chordata; Mammalia; Primates; Hominidae.
ACAGUGGCCACCCGAGCAAACAGACAACCAAAAAUUGGGCCUGGUUUGAAACAGCACAGCUUCUCUGCAGACACUUAGCCUCCUGGACCCCCCACCCAACAGUGAGCCGAUGGCCUUCAGGUUAGCUGAGCUUUCUAAAAUAAGCAGUUCGUCUAUGGACUGAAGUCAAGAGCUCAAGCAUCAAGUACACGUCUUUGAGAAAAGCUGCCAUGCUUGGAAAAGUUAACUUUUCAGAUGCUGAUAGAAAUGAACUCUUAACCACUAGCAUGGGCAAACUUCAAAGUUGAACUGUGUGCUUGCUGCUUUCUUUCCUAGAAUUCUUGUCAUUACAAAACUAUGUAAGAUCAACGCAAAACUAUCUGUGAUGUUGAUCAAAUGCAAUAAAAAGAAUGAUACAGC